GACGAACGCUGGCGGCGUGCUUAACACAUGCAAGUCGAACGGAAAGGCCCCCUUGUGGGGUACUCGAGUGGCGAACGGGUGAGUAACACGUGAGUAACCUACCCUUGACUUUGGGAUAACUUCAGGAAACUGGGGCUAAUACCGGAUAGGAGCUCCUGCUGCAUGGUGGGGGUUGGAAAGUUUCGGCGGUUGGGGAUGGACUCGCGGCUUAUCAGCUUGUUGGUGGGGUAGUGGCUCACCAAGGCUUUGACGGGUAGCCGGCCUGAGAGGGUGACCGGCCACAUUGGGACUGAGAUACGGCCCAGACUCCUACGGGAGGCAGCAGUGGGGAAUAUUGCACAAUGGGCGGAAGCCUGAUGCAGCAACGCCGCGUGCGGGAUGACGGCCUUCGGGUUGUAAACCGCUUUCGCCUGUGACGAAGCGUGAGUGACGGUAAUGGGUAAAGAAGCACCGGCUAACUACGUGC
Molecule: ribosomal RNA, 466 nt
Filed under: uncultured bacterium
Lineage: Bacteria
Description: partial 16S ribosomal RNA
Rfam family: Bacterial small subunit ribosomal RNA
Source: RNAcentral